Non-coding RNA from Phrynosoma platyrhinos (Desert horned lizard), 72 nucleotides. The record is from the annotation of a GenBank genome assembly. NCBI's taxonomy places the organism in Eukaryota, Metazoa, Chordata, Lepidosauria, Squamata, Phrynosomatidae.
GUCAGUGUGGCAUAGUGGUUUGAGUGUUAAACUAUGACUCUCAAGACCAGUGCUCAAUUCCCAGCUUGGUCA